Molecule: ribosomal RNA, 440 nt
Filed under: uncultured bacterium
Lineage: Bacteria
Description: partial 16S ribosomal RNA
Rfam family: Bacterial small subunit ribosomal RNA
Source: RNAcentral
CCUACGGGUGGCAGCAGUGGGGAAUAUUGCGCAAUGGGCGAAAGCCUGAUGCAGCGACGCCGCGUGGGUGAAGAAGCGCCUCGGCGCGUAAAGCCCUGUCAGCAGGGAAGAAAAUGACGGUACCUGAAGAAGAAGCCCCGGCUAACUACGUGCCAGCAGCCGCGGUAAUACGUAGGUGGCAAGCGUUAUCCGGAUUUACUGGGUGUAAAGGGAGCGCAGACGGCGAUGCAAGCCUGGAGUGAAAGCCGGGGGCCCAACACCGGGACUGCUCUUGAAACUGCGUGGCGAGAGUGCAGGAGGGGCAGGCGGAAUUCCUGGUGUAGCGGUGAAAUGCGUAGAUAUCAGGAGGAACACCGGUGGCGAAGGCGGCCUGCUGGACUGCAACUGACGUUGAGGCCCGAAAGCGUGGGGAGCAAACAGGAUUAGAUACCCCAGUAGUC